This 229-nucleotide ribosomal RNA is filed under the name uncultured bacterium. Its description in RNAcentral is "partial 16S ribosomal RNA". It matches the Rfam family "Bacterial small subunit ribosomal RNA", at positions 568 to 796 of the family's 1533-position model. The record is from RNAcentral.
UGCGUAGGCGGGCUAAUAAGUCAGUGGUGAAAUCUCUCGGCUCAACCGGGAAACUGCCAUUGAUACUGUUAGUCUUGAGUUCGGUUGAGGUAGGCGGAAUGUGUAAUGUAGCGGUGAAAUGCUUAGAUAUUACACAGAACACCAAUUGCGUAGGCAGCUUACUAGACCGACACUGACGCUGAGGCACGAAAGCGUGGGGAGCGAACCGGAUUAGAUACCCUGGUAGUCC